UGGGUGGGGAGCCAGAAGCUCCCGCGUUGGGAGGGGGCUGAGCAGGUUCAACAGAAAUGGAACCUACCCUCUUCCCACUGUGGGGGGGGGGUCAGUUCCACAGGGAUGAGAAAUCGAAGCUUCGGUGUAGGUCGGGCUUGCCUUGUUACUGCUUUCAGAUGCGACAGCUUCCUGCAUGAAAAGAAGAACCCAAGAUGGACCUGGAGCAGGAAGGAGAGGGGCUUUCCGGCUUCCUUCUGCCCAUCCUAGAAGCCACGCUUAAAACUAUGACCUUGAAUAACUCGGUUUUCUCAGGCUAUCAGACAGCUUGUAUCUCGAGGCAACUCUGCCUGGAGCCUUGGGAGGCAUGAGGGUCUCCACGGAGCUUUCAACAAGGUCCAGCCCUGAGCGUGGCCCAGAGGCCCAGCAAUCAUGGAGGUAUCCUUCCUCUGAAGAUGUUCAGGCCAGAGGGAACAGGAUGUGAGUGGUUGGACCUCCGGAAAAGAGGGCACACGGGAGGGCAUUGAACCCCGGGAAGUGGAGUCCUGCCCUGUGGGAGAAAGGGAAGGGGGAUCCCGGCGGGGGAGACCCUGUCCCCCGGGCUCAGACUCCUCAAGUCAGUCGCCUGCAUCUCAGGCGUCAGCACGUGGACAGUGGGCUGGGCAGUGAUGGUGCUUUUAAUGCUUGUAGAGUAUACACGCCAUCUUUCCCCAUUUUCAAGUGAGGAAACCUGGGCCCAGGGAGAAGUGAUGUGUCCAGGUCACAGCAUGUCAGUGAUGGCGUGUCUAUGAGGCCAGACCGAAUGCUCUUUUCCACCCGGUUUACACAGCAUCUGGCACCGGGCCACCGGGCCACGGGGCUACCAGCCCCUCCUGCUGAGGCCCGAGUAUCACCAGGAGCCACCCUGGUGCCUCAGCCUGGGCAGAGGUGGGAAACUCACCUGCCAAAAGGACCAGUGUGUCCCAGUUCUAACUGGGGCAGCCGCAGAACACUGGGACCGGGAGCAGGAGCGGCAGAGCUCCUCCAAGGCGCCCGUGGCCUCCGAGGCAGCAGCUCAGACACGGCCCAGCUGGCCAAAAUGAGUGUGUGCGCUGAGGUGGGGGCCGGAGUUGCAACUGGAAGGCUCUGGAAGCUGGGCCUCUGGACACCAGCCCCUCCCAGUCUCCUGGAGUCCUGAGUUGGCCUCAAGGGACCAAGCGAGAAGGCCCCAGGCCCAUCCGGUCCCUCUGCUCCUCCCUCUCAGGGGAGGCCCCUGGAAACGCCCUCUUGUCUACAGUUUGGACAUUACCAGGGGAUAAGUCUGCCCAGGCUCGCCAGGAGGGUGGUUCCCAGAGCCAUGGGACCUGGGGUCUCCCAGACAGUGUCUAGCUCUCCGCACAACUGGCAGAAUGAUUUUCAAGUUUCCAACAACUUGAAAACCACAUGUGAUUUUCCAUAGUCUGGUGCCCCCGCCCAGCUCCCCAGGCCCGGACUGCUGAGUGAGCAGAGUUCACCCGAAGAAUUCCUUCCACUCGCCGCAGGACCCAGCCCCCGGGAGACUGGGGGGUCACUGCAGCCGCAGGGGGGCUGAUGGGCUGAGGGGCGGGAGGCGGGCUUCCCGUGCCUGAGUAAUUCUGCAGCCCGCAGACUGGGAUGAGGACAAGGGCCACGUGUGGCAGUGUCAUGUGACAAUCAGCCAGGGUUGUCUGGUUCCAAACAGGCUCUAGUGGAAAAAAGUAUGCUGAUCAUCCCUCCCACCUUCCUCUAAAUUGACUCCGAUGGAUUGAAGAUGUAGAUGUUGAAAGAGAAACCAUCAAAGUAGUAAAAGAAAACAUAGAAAUUUGUGCUUAUAAUCUUCAUGGGGGAAGUCUUUCUAAGCAGAAACUGUAGAAGGAUGGAGAAUUUUGGUUCUGUAAAAGUGCUAGCUUUCUGUUCAAAAUAGCCUCAAAAUGAAAUUAACAGGCAAACAAAACACUGGAAAUAGAUCCACAACCCCUAGGUCAGAAAGCGAACAUUUUAGGAGCUGCCCGUGGCCUCAGAGCCUCUCUCCAAGCCUCAGUUUCUCUCCUCCAUACAAUGGGAUAAUACUGACACUAUCGCUCCUUGUGAAAAGGGCACAAGGAUUCACUGAGAUAAAUCUAGAAAGCUGUGCCUGAAAAAUACUAAUUCUUUGAUAAAGGGAAAACAUUCUUUACAUUUUUAAAGCUAAUUUGACCUUGUUUCCAUUUUUAAAAGUGAGCCCCCAGGAUAUAGGCCAAUUCACAAAAGAAGAAACAUAAGUGGGGACUUCCGUAGUGGUCCAGUGGUUAAGACUCCAUGCUUCCACUGCAGGGGGCACAGGUUCGAUCCCUGGUCCGGGAACUAAGAUCCCGCAUGCCACUAAUAAACAUAUGCAAAAAUGUUGACCUCAUGAAAAGUUAUGCAAAUGCUAAUUAAAAUACACUGAGUAGUACUUUUCCAAUAUCAA
Molecule: long non-coding RNA, 2425 nt
Organism: Balaenoptera acutorostrata (minke whale)
Lineage: Eukaryota; Metazoa; Chordata; Mammalia; Artiodactyla; Balaenopteridae
Exons: 3
Source: RefSeq, a predicted model, not a curated record